RNAcentral lists this ribosomal RNA (301 nucleotides) under uncultured bacterium. RNAcentral's name for it is "partial 16S ribosomal RNA". It matches the Rfam family "Bacterial small subunit ribosomal RNA", at positions 509 to 809 of the family's 1533-position model. The record is from RNAcentral.
CAGCAGCCGCGGGAAUACGUAGGGUGCGAGCGUUAAUCGGAAUUACUGGGCGUAAAGCGUGCGCAGGCGGUUUUGUAAGACAGGCGUGAAAUCCCCGGACUCAACCUGGGAAUGGCGCUUGUGACUGCAAAGCUAGAGUGCGGCAGAGGGGGAUGGAAUUCCGCGUGUAGCAGUGAAAUGCGUAGAUAUGCGGAGGAACACCGAUGGCGAAGGCAAUCCCCUGGGCCUGCACUGACGCUCAUGCACGAAAGCGUGGGGAGCAAGCAGGAUUAGAUACCCCUGUAGUCCCUGUCUCUUAUAA